GAAGGCAGUAGCGUUUGUUGAUAAUCAGCCUUGCUUUUGCUUGGUGUACUGCUUGAUCGAUGGGUCAGUAUCAGUUUUGAUCGUUGGAUAAAGUUCGAGGGAAUGUGGCAUCUUCGGAUGUGUUAUAGCCUACGUUCGUAUACAAGCGGUUGGGACUGAGGAACUCAGCACGCCGAAAGGCCGGGUUUUUAACCACGUACGUGCUUAGGAUGCUGGCAUAAUGGCUUUAAUCGACCCGUCUUGAAACACGG
Molecule: ribosomal RNA, 251 nt
Filed under: Hydropus sp.
Lineage: Eukaryota; Fungi; Basidiomycota; Agaricomycetes; Agaricales; Mycenaceae
Description: partial large subunit ribosomal RNA
Source: RNAcentral